GCCUGAGUAGCUCAGUGGUUGAGCAUCUGCCUUUAGCUCAGGUCGUAUCCCAGGGUCCUGGGAUCAAGUCUCACAUCAGGCU
RNAcentral lists this transfer RNA (82 nucleotides) under Canis lupus familiaris (dog). It matches the Rfam family "tRNA". Rfam says of the family: Transfer RNA (tRNA) molecules are approximately 80 nucleotides in length. Lineage: Eukaryota; Metazoa; Chordata; Mammalia; Carnivora; Canidae. The record is from Rfam by way of RNAcentral.